RNAcentral lists this ribosomal RNA (408 nucleotides) under uncultured bacterium. Its description in RNAcentral is "partial 16S ribosomal RNA". It matches the Rfam family "Bacterial small subunit ribosomal RNA", at positions 28 to 526 of the family's 1533-position model. The record is from RNAcentral.
GACGAACGCUGGCGGCGUGCUUAACACAUGCAAGUCGAACGAAGUGGCGGACGGGGGAGUAACGCGUAAUCAACCUGCUCUUCAGAGGGGGGCAACAGUUGGAAACGACUGCUAAUACCGCCUACGGACGUAGGGGAUUGUGUCUGAUUGGCGAGUUGGUGGGGUAACGGCCCACCAAGGCAAGGAUCAGUAGCCGGCCUGGGAGGGUGAACGGCCACAUGGGGACUGAGACACGGCCCAGACUCCUACGGGAGGCAGCAGUGGGGAAUCUUCCGCAAUGGAGGGAAGUCUGACGGAGCAACGCCGCGUGAGUGAUGACGGUUUUCGGGUUGUAAAGCUCUGUUAAUCGGGACGCGGUACCGAACUAGAAAGCCACGGCUAACUACGUGCCAGCAGCCGCGGUAAUAC